RNAcentral lists this ribosomal RNA (254 nucleotides) under uncultured bacterium. RNAcentral's name for it is "partial 16S ribosomal RNA". It matches the Rfam family "Bacterial small subunit ribosomal RNA", at positions 524 to 776 of the family's 1533-position model. The record is from RNAcentral.
UACGUAGGGUGCAAGCGUUAAUCGGAAUUACUGGGCGUAAAGCGUGCGCAGGCGGUUGUGCAAGACCGAUGUGAAAUCCCCGGGCUUAACCUGGGAACUGCAUUGGUGACUGGCAGGCUUUGAGUGUGGCAGAGGGGGGUAGAAUUCCACGUGUAGCAGUGAAAUGCGUAGAGAUGUGGAGGAAUACCGAUGGCGAAGGCAGCCCCCUGGGCCAACACUGACGCUCAUGCACGAAAGCGUGGGGAGCAAACAGG